CCGACUACGUGGCAGCAGCGCCUGUGACACGGAUGAACCAAUGGUGUUCCGGAGUGAUUUGGCGGAAAGAGCUCGUAGGCGGGUCGGUAAGUCGGGUGUGAAAACUUUGGGCUCAACCCAAAGCGGGCACUCGAUACUGCCGUGACUAGAGUUCGGUAGGGGAGCGGGGAAUUCCUAGUGUAGCGGUGAAAUGCGCAGAUAUUAGGAGGAACACCGGUGGCGAAGGCGCCGCUCUGGGCCGAAACUGACGCUGAGGAGCGAAAGCGUGGGUAGCAAACAGGAUUAGAUACCCCUGUAGUC
This 300-nucleotide ribosomal RNA is filed under the name uncultured Actinomyces sp. RNAcentral describes it as "bacterial SSU rRNA". It matches the Rfam family "Bacterial small subunit ribosomal RNA", at positions 497 to 795 of the family's 1533-position model. The record is from RNAcentral. Lineage: Bacteria; Bacillati; Actinomycetota; Actinomycetes; Actinomycetales; Actinomycetaceae.